GAUGAACGCUGGCGGCGUGCCUAAUACAUGCAAGUCGAGCGAACAGACGAGGAGCUUGCUCCUCUGACGUUAGCGGCGGACGGGUGAGUAACACGUGGAUAACCUACCUAUAAGACUGGGAUAACUUCGGGAAACCGGAGCUAGUACCGGAUAACAUGUUGAACCGCAUGGUUCAACAGUGAAAGACGGUCUUGCUGUCACUUAUAGAUGGAUCCGCGCCGCAUUAGCUAGUUGGUAAGGUAACGGCUUACCAAGGCAACGAUGCGUAGCCGACCUGAGAGGGUGAUCGGCCACACUGGAACUGAGACACGGUCCAGACUCCUACGGGAGGCAGCAGUAGGGAAUCUUCCGCAAUGGGCGAAAUCCUGACGGAGCAACGCCGCGUGAGUGAAGAAGGUCUUCGGAUCGUAAAACUCUGUUAUUAGGGAAGAACAAAUGUGUAAGUAACUAUGCACGUCUUGACGGUACCUAAUCAGAAAGCCACGGCUAACUACGUG
Molecule: ribosomal RNA, 497 nt
Filed under: uncultured bacterium
Lineage: Bacteria
Description: partial 16S ribosomal RNA
Rfam family: Bacterial small subunit ribosomal RNA
Source: RNAcentral